This 1519-nucleotide ribosomal RNA is filed under the name uncultured Gemella sp. RNAcentral's name for it is "bacterial SSU rRNA". It matches the Rfam family "Bacterial small subunit ribosomal RNA". The record is from RNAcentral. Lineage: Bacteria; Bacillati; Bacillota; Bacilli; Caryophanales; Gemellaceae.
AGAGUUUGAUCAUGGCUCAGGACGAACGCUGGCGGCGUGCCUAAUACAUGCAAGUCGAGCGAAGUUUUUCUGGUGCUUGCACUAGAAAAACUUAGCGGCGAACGGGUGAGUAACACGUAAAGAACCUGCCUCAUAGACUGGGACAACUAUUGGAAACGAUAGCUAAUACCGGAUAACAGCACUAACUGCAUGGUUGAUGUUUAAAAGUUGGUUAUGCUAACACUACGAGAUGGCUUUGCGGUGCAUUAGCUAGUUGGUGGGGUAAAGGCCCACCAAGGCGACGAUGCAUAGCCGACCUGAGAGGGUGAUCGGCCACACUGGGACUGAGACACGGCCCAGACUCCUACGGGAGGCAGCAGUAGGGAAUCUUCCGCAAUGGGCGAAAGCCUGACGGAGCAACGCCGCGUGAGUGAAGAAGGAUUUCGGUUCGUAAAGCUCUGUUGUUAGGGAAGAAUGGAUAUGUAGUAACUAUACAUAUAAGAGACGGUACCUAACCAGAAAGCCACGGCUAACUACGUGCCAGCAGCCGCGGUAAUACGUAGGUGGCAAGCGUUGUCCGGAAUUAUUGGGCGUAAAGCGCGCGCAGGUGGUUUAAUAAGUCUGAUGUGAAAGCCCACGGCUCAACCGUGGAGGGUCAUUGGAAACUGUUAAACUUGAGUGCAGGAGAGAAAAGUGGAAUUCCUAGUGUAGCGGUGAAAUGCGUAGAGAUUAGGAGGAACACCAGUGGCGAAGGCGGCUUUUGGCCUGUAACUGACACUGAGGCGCGAAAGCGUGGGGAGCAAACAGGAUUAGAUACCCUGGUAGUCCACGCCAUAAACGAUGAGUGCUAAGUGUUGGUCUCAUAAGAGAUCAGUGCUGCAGCUAACGCAUUAAGCACUCCGCCUGGGGAGUACGACCGCAAGGUUGAAACUCAAAGGAAUUGACAGGGACCCGCACAAGCGGUGGAGCAUGUGGUUUAAUUCGAAGCAACGCGAAGAACCUUACCAAGUCUUGACAUACUGUGAGGACACAAGAGAUUGUGUUGUUUUAACCUUUGGUUAGACACAGAUACAGGUGGUGCAUGGUUGUCGUCAGCUCGUGUCGUGAGAUGUUGGGUUAAGUCCCGCAACGAGCGCAACCCUUAUAUCUAGUUGCCAGCAGUAAGAUGGGGACUCUAGAUAGACUGCCAGUGAUAAACUGGAGGAAGGUGGGGAUGACGUCAAAUCAUCAUGCCCCUUAUGACUUGGGCUACACACGUGCUACAAUGGAUAGGAACAAAGAGAAGCGAGCUCGCGAGAGUCAGCCAACCUCAUAAAACUAUUCUCAGUUCGGAUUGUAGUCUGCAACUCGACUACAUGAAGCUGGAAUCGCUAGUAAUCGCGAAUCAGAAUGUCGCGGUGAAUACGUUCCCGGGUCUUGUACACACCGCCCGUCACACCACGAGAGUUUGUAACACCCGAAGACGGUGGCCUAACCUUUUAGGAGGGAGCCGGUCACGGUGGGACAGAUGAUUGGGGUGAAGUCGUAACAAGGUAACCGU